This 250-nucleotide ribosomal RNA is filed under the name uncultured bacterium. Its description in RNAcentral is "partial 16S ribosomal RNA". It matches the Rfam family "Bacterial small subunit ribosomal RNA", at positions 524 to 773 of the family's 1533-position model. The record is from RNAcentral.
UACGGAGGAUCCAAGCGUUAUCCGGAAUCAUUGGGUUUAAAGGGUCCGUAGGCGGCCCUGUAAGUCAGUGGUGAAAUCUUUCGGCUCAACCGGAAAAUUGCCAUUGAUACUGCAGGGCUUGAAUUAUCGGGAAGUAACUAGAAUAUGUAGUGUAGCGGUGAAAUGCUUAGAGAUUACAUGGAAUACCGAUUGCGAAGGCAGGUUACUACCGGUGGAUUGACGCUGAUGGACGAAAGCGUGGGGAGCGAAC